UAGGGAAUAUUGGGCAAUGGGCGGAAGCCUGACCCAGCCACGCCGCGUGCAGGAAGACGGCCCUCUGGGUUGUAAACUGCUUUUAACUGGGAAGAAAAGAGGCUUUGCGAAGCAAGUUGACGGUACCAGUUGAGUAAGCCACGGCUAACUACGUGCCAGCAGCCGCGGUAAUACGUAGGUGGCGAGCGUUAUCCGGAUUUAUUGGGUUUAAAGGGAGCGUAGGCGGCUGAUUAAGUCAGCGGUGAAAGGUAGCAGCUUAACUGUUUUACAUGCCGUUGAUACUGGUUAGCUUGAGUUGACAGAAGGCAGAUAGAAUUCCUGAUGUAGCGGUGAAAUGCUUAGAUAUCAGGAGGAAUACCGAUUGCGAAGGCAGUCUGCUGCAGUCACACUGACGCUGAGGCUCGAAGGUGCGGGGAUCAAACAGGAUUAGAUACCCUGGUAGUCCGCACAGUAAACGAUGAUUACUAGAUGUUGGCCAAGCCAGUGUCCAAGGGAAACCGAUAAGUAAUCCACCUGGGGAGUACGCCGGCAACGGUG
This 537-nucleotide ribosomal RNA is filed under the name uncultured bacterium. Its description in RNAcentral is "bacterial SSU rRNA". It matches the Rfam family "Bacterial small subunit ribosomal RNA", at positions 355 to 896 of the family's 1533-position model. The record is from RNAcentral.